RNAcentral lists this ribosomal RNA (248 nucleotides) under uncultured Lachnospiraceae bacterium. RNAcentral's name for it is "partial 16S ribosomal RNA". It matches the Rfam family "Bacterial small subunit ribosomal RNA", at positions 524 to 771 of the family's 1533-position model. The record is from RNAcentral. Lineage: Bacteria; Bacillati; Bacillota; Clostridia; Lachnospirales; Lachnospiraceae.
UACGUAGGGGGCAAGCGUUAUCCGGAAUUACUGGGUGUAAAGGGAGCGUAGACGGCUGAGCAAGUCUGGAGUGAAAGGCCGGGGCCCAACCCCGGGACUGCUCUGGAAACUGUCCGGCUUGAGUGCAGGAGAGGUAAGCGGAAUUCCUAGUGUAGCGGUGAAAUGCGUAGAUAUUAGGAGGAACACCAGUGGCGAAGGCGGCUUACUGGACUGUAACUGACGUUGAGGCUCGAAAGCGUGGGGAGCAA